Molecule: small RNA, 87 nt
Filed under: Salix viminalis (osier)
Lineage: Eukaryota; Viridiplantae; Streptophyta; Magnoliopsida; Malpighiales; Salicaceae
Source: RNAcentral
CCUCAGCAGGUAUGCAAACAAAUCUAUUUCUUGUUAUUCCUUUGAUCCUAUGUGAUCAUCUAAUAUCAUCAUCUGGUUGAGUUCAGG